GCCCUCGUAGCUCAACGGAUAGAGCAGAGGCGUCCUAAGCCUUUGAUGUGGGUUCAAUUCCUGCCGAGGGCA
This 72-nucleotide transfer RNA is filed under the name Candidatus Portnoybacteria bacterium RIFCSPHIGHO2_12_FULL_40_11. Its description in RNAcentral is "tRNA-Arg". It matches the Rfam family "tRNA". Rfam says of the family: Transfer RNA (tRNA) molecules are approximately 80 nucleotides in length. Their secondary structure includes four short double-helical elements and three loops (D, anti-codon, and T loops). The record is from RNAcentral. RNAcentral also lists the same sequence under 1 other name. Lineage: Bacteria; Candidatus Portnoyibacteriota.